CAAAACUACCCCUGCAAGACGGAGGUAACAGAUUGCACAAACACAUUGAAACAUUUUCAGCUGUUCACUAACACUGUUACAUUUUCUGGAAUUUUCAAUGGAAUGGGAGAAUACGUAAGUAAGAUAGAGAAAAACUAUCGACAUUAUAAACAUAUUGUAAUGUUAACUUGUUAGAAUAGGAGAGGCGAAUACCCAAUAUUUCAAGAAGAAUAAACAAAAAGCGCAGUUUAUUUUGGAUUUUAAAGAGAGAAAACGAAAGAGGUUAACAAGGAGAAAAAGAAAUCAUUUGGACCAUUGGUAAAAUUCAAAUCUAUUGCGUGCAGCAACCAAAUAAUGGAGUAUGUUUUAAAUUAUUAAAGUUAAAUAGUGUAUAUUUAAUUCAAAUAUUUGUUAUAGAUUGUGCAUUUUA
Long non-coding RNA from Bactrocera dorsalis (oriental fruit fly), 409 nucleotides. RefSeq lists it as uncharacterized. The transcript is spliced from 3 exons. NCBI's taxonomy places the organism in Eukaryota, Metazoa, Arthropoda, Insecta, Diptera, Tephritidae. The record is from RefSeq and is a predicted model, not a curated record.